CCUACGGGAGGCAGCAGUGGGGAAUUUUGCACAAUGGGCGAAAGCCUGAUGCAGCAACGCCGCGUGAGUGAAGAAGGUCUUUGGAUUGUAAAGCUCUUUUGUGAGGGAAGCGGUACCUUGAGAAAAAGCACUGGCUAAUUCCGUGCCAGCAGCCGCGGUAAUACGGAAGGUGCAAGCGUUGUUCGGAGUGACUGGGCGUAAAGGGCGCGUAGGCGGGAGGAUAAGAGGAUUGUGAAAACCCUGGGCUUAACCUAGGACGUGCAGUUCUGACUGUUCUUCUUGAAUGUCCGAGAGGUUAGUGGAAUUCCAGGUGUAGGAGUGAAAUCCGUAGAUAUCUGGAGGAACACCGGAGGCGAAGGCGGCUAACUGGUGGAAAUUGACGCUGAGGCGCGAAAGCGCAGGUAGCAAACAGGAUUAGAUACCCUUGUAGUC
RNAcentral lists this ribosomal RNA (432 nucleotides) under uncultured bacterium. RNAcentral's name for it is "partial 16S ribosomal RNA". It matches the Rfam family "Bacterial small subunit ribosomal RNA", at positions 338 to 795 of the family's 1533-position model. The record is from RNAcentral.